AAAUUGAAGAGUUUGAUCAUGGCUCAGAUUGAACGCUGGCGGCAGGCCUAACACAUGCAAGUCGAACGGUAACAGGAAGCAGCUUGCUGCUUCGCUGACGAGUGGCGGACGGGUGAGUAAUGUCUGGGAAACUGCCUGAUGGAGGGGGAUAACUACUGGAAACGGUGGCUAAUACCGCAUAACGUCGCAAGACCAAAGAGGGGGACCUUCGGGCCUCUUGCCAUCAGAUGUGCCCAGAUGGGAUUAGCUAG
RNAcentral lists this ribosomal RNA (251 nucleotides) under Salmonella enterica. Its description in RNAcentral is "partial 16S ribosomal RNA". It matches the Rfam family "Bacterial small subunit ribosomal RNA", at positions 1 to 248 of the family's 1533-position model. Lineage: Bacteria; Pseudomonadati; Pseudomonadota; Gammaproteobacteria; Enterobacterales; Enterobacteriaceae. The record is from RNAcentral. RNAcentral also lists the same sequence under 4 other names.